This 321-nucleotide ribosomal RNA is filed under the name Gibsmithia hawaiiensis. RNAcentral describes it as "bacterial LSU rRNA". It matches the Rfam family "Bacterial large subunit ribosomal RNA", at positions 2099 to 2417 of the family's 2925-position model. Lineage: Eukaryota; Rhodophyta; Florideophyceae; Gigartinales; Dumontiaceae. The record is from RNAcentral.
CUUUACUGUAGCUUGGAAUUGAGUUUGGGUUUAUUUUGCGCAGUAUAGGUGGGAGGCUAAGAUAAUAAGCUUGAGGGUUUAUUGGAGCCAAUAGUGAGAUACCACUCUAAGUAAACUAGAAUUCUAACCUUGAUAGUCGUUAGCCGGCCAAGGAACAGUUUCAGGUGGGCAGUUUGACUGGGGCGGUCGCCUCCUAAAAGGUAACGGAGGCGUGCAAAGGUUCCUUCAGGCUGGUCGGAAAUCAGUCGUAGAGUAUAAAGGCAUAAGGGAGCUUGACUGCAAGACCUACAAGUCGAGCAGAGACGAAAGUCGGCCUUAGUG